UCCGCCUCCUGGUAACCCGGGCGACCGCUCCGAAGCUCCGCCCCCGCCUCGCGCUUCCCCGUCCGGGCUCCGAGGCCCCGCCCCCGAGGAGGCCGCGGGUCCUACCUCCCCGGCGCCCGGCCCGCGGGUGGGCCCGGGGUUGGCAGCGCGCGCCCCGAGCCGAGCGGUAGCCGAGUUCCCCAUGCAAACCGCCGAGCGCUCGCCGGCGCCGCCCCGGCUGCCCCCGCACGACCCGGGCACGCCGGCGCUGUCGGUGGUGGACAUGCACACGGGCGGCGAGCCCCUGCGCAUCGUGCUGGCGGGGUGUCCGGAGGUGGCGGGCCCCACGCUGCUGGCCAAGCGGCGCUACAUGCGCCAGCACCUGGAUCACGUGCGGCGACGGCUCGUGUACGAACCCCGGGGGCACCGGGACAUGUACGGGGCCGUGCUGGUGCCGAGCGAGCUGCCGGACGCGCACCUGGGCGUCCUGUUCCUGCACAACGAAGGCUACAGCUCCAUGUGCGGCCACGCCGUGCUGGCGCUGGGCCGCUUCGCGCUCGACUUCGGGCUGGUGGCUGCGCCCCCGGCCGGCGCCCGCGAGGCCCGCGUCAACAUCCACUGCCCGUGCGGGCUGGUGGCCGCCUUCGUGCAGUGCGAGGGCGGCCGGAGCCGCGGCCCGGUGCGCUUCCACAGCGUCCCGGCCUUCGUGCUGGCCACAGGUAACCCGCGGGACCGCCCACCCUCGGGCUGCAACCCGAGACGCUACUAACUACACUCGUUCUCUCGGCUGGAACCCACACCGCGCAACUAACCCACCCCACAGCCUUUGCAAAUAAUGAAAAGGCAAUUCUAAGUCACUGCAGAUAGCCUUCGGAUUUGUGCGGAGCAUGCAAUUCAAUGAUCGAUCCCCCAGGUCCGUGGACCUGUGGUCUUGAGAGCCUUGAGACAUCCUAACCUUAAACCUAACCCUAACCCUAACCCAAACCCUUUGCAAAUAAUAAAAAGGUAAUUCUAAGUCACUUGCUAUAGCCUUCGGAUUUGUGCGAAGCAUGCAAUUCAGUGAUUGAUCCCCCAGGGCCAUGGGCCUGUGGUCUUGAUAGUCUUGAGACACCCGAAAAUCCUAACCCUAAAACCCUAACCCAAUUCCGUGCUUCCCUCAGCGCCUCGCUCCCCACUCGGCAGGCAUUCCUAGAUUUCACAGUUGGCUAAAGCUAGGUCGGCCGGAGUCAAAGGGCAAAGAACAGCCAGUGGGCCCGGUUCCAGGCUGGCUCAGAAUGCCCUCGCCAGACACACCAUCCCCUCUGACAGGUUACUAAACACAGGUUACUGGGACUGAUCUGUAAAAAGUGCUUCUCCACUUCUUGGGGAGGAAAUUAAAUGAGAAUGAACUAGGUAACUUACAAAUCGUGAAAGUACUGAUGUCGCUA
Molecule: RNA transcript, 1406 nt
Organism: Myotis lucifugus (little brown bat)
Lineage: Eukaryota; Metazoa; Chordata; Mammalia; Chiroptera; Vespertilionidae
Gene name: trans-3-hydroxy-L-proline dehydratase pseudogene
Exons: 1
Source: RefSeq, a predicted model, not a curated record